GUCUAUAGCCAGUGCAUUCCUAACUCCCCUUGCACUAAGGCUGACUGAGGCUGUGGGAAGAGAUGUUCCUCCUGUUCUCUGUUCCUUCACAGAGUCUUGUCGUGUUAUGUUCAGGUAUUUUGUCCUGGUUUCACCUGUAUGGGUUCUGAGUCUGGGAAAAUCCCUGGAUAUAUCUUCAGGCCUAGUCCCACUAAAGACAGCUGUAUCCUCAGUGUGAAAGGGGUAGCACGCUAAGGAAAGCGCUUAGCAUGCAAUGUAGGUGUUUGGGAGGCUGGAGAGAGAGAUAGCCGAAUCUGGGAGAUGUCAGCCUCGGACUGCAGCGCUGAGACUGGUGAUAUGGAUGGGAGGACGAGACUCGCAGAGCCGCGAUCAAAAGAGACAAGGAGCGGCUGAAGUGAGCCUCCUGACUCGAGGAAUCGGAGAGAUCUUUCUGCCAAUCAAACCAAGCUGAGGAAAACGCGCAUCCUUCCAGAAAAUUCACAUAUCUGGGAAUGGAGAAACACAUUUCACAGUUAGGUUUGUGCCUUCCAGCCGUUCCAUAAUAUUCGCAAAUAUCAAAGGGACCAGCCAGUUAAAGAAGAAAUACAACGGUGAAGGUAGUUUUCGUUUUGCGUG
Molecule: long non-coding RNA, 615 nt
Organism: Erpetoichthys calabaricus (reedfish)
Lineage: Eukaryota; Metazoa; Chordata; Cladistia; Polypteriformes; Polypteridae
Exons: 3
Source: RefSeq, a predicted model, not a curated record